Molecule: ribosomal RNA, 253 nt
Filed under: uncultured bacterium
Lineage: Bacteria
Description: partial 16S ribosomal RNA
Rfam family: Bacterial small subunit ribosomal RNA
Source: RNAcentral
UACAGAGGUCUCAAGCGUUGUUCGGAUUCAUUGGGCGUAAAGGGUGCGUAGGUGGUGAUGCAAGUCUGGUGUGAAAUCUUGGAGCUCAACUCCGAAAUUGCACCGGAUACUGCGUGACUCGAGGACUGUAGAGGAGAUCGGAAUUCACGGUGUAGCAGUGAAAUGCGUAGAUAUCAGGAGGAAUACCGAUGGCGAAGGCAGGUCUCUGGGCUGACACUGACGCUCAUGCACGAAAGCGUGGGGAGCAAACAGG